UAAAAGCCAGCCUGACUACAAUUCCGUACC
RNAcentral lists this non-coding RNA (30 nucleotides) under Mus musculus (house mouse). The record is from RNAcentral. Lineage: Eukaryota; Metazoa; Chordata; Mammalia; Rodentia; Muridae.